GAUGAAGAACGUAGCGAAAUGCGAUAAGUAAUGUGAAUUGCAGAAUUCAGCGAAUCAUCGAAUCUUUGAACGCACAUUGCGCCCGCCAGUAUUCUGGCGGGCAUGCCUGUUCGAGCGUCAUUACAACCCUCAGGCCCCCGGGCCUGGCGUUGGGGAUCGGCGGAAGCCCCCUGUGGGCACACGCCGUCCCUCAAAUACAGUGGCGGUCCCGCCGCAGCUUCCAUUGCGUAGUAGCUAACACCUCGCAACUGGAGAGCGGCGCGGCCAUGCCGUAAAACACCCAACUUCUGAAUGUUGACCUCGAAUCAGGCAGGAAUACCCGCUGAACUUAAGCAUAUCAAUAAGCGGAGGA
This 352-nucleotide unclassified non-coding RNA is filed under the name soil metagenome. Its description in RNAcentral is "partial contains 5.8S ribosomal RNA, internal transcribed spacer 2, and large subunit ribosomal RNA". The stretch from base 1 to 120 matches the Rfam family "5.8S ribosomal RNA", at positions 35 to 154 of the family's 154-position model. The record is from RNAcentral.